RNAcentral lists this ribosomal RNA (485 nucleotides) under uncultured bacterium. RNAcentral describes it as "partial 16S ribosomal RNA". It matches the Rfam family "Bacterial small subunit ribosomal RNA", at positions 28 to 523 of the family's 1533-position model. The record is from RNAcentral.
GACGAACGCUGGCGGCGUGCUUAACACAUGCAAGUCGAACGAUGAAAGCUGGAGCUUGCUCCGGCUGGAUUAGUGGCGAACGGGUGAGUAACACGUGAGCAAUCUGCCCUUGACUCUGGGAUAACUCUGAGAGAUCGGUGCUAAUACCGGAUAUGACCCUUGGCGGCAUCGCUGGGGGUGGAAAGUUUUUCGGUCAAGGAUGAGCUCGCGGCCUAUCAGCUUGUUGGUGAGGUAAUGGCUCACCAAGGCGACGACGGGUAGCCGGCCUGAGAGGGUGACCGGCCACACUGGGACUGAGACACGGCCCAGACUCCUACGGGAGGCAGCGGUGGGGAAUAUUGCACAAUGGGCGCAAGCCUGAUGCAGCAACGCCGCGUGGGGGAUGACGGCCUUCGAGUUGUAAACCUCUUUUAGCAGGGGAGAAGCGAAAGUGACGGUACCUGCAGAAAAAGCACCGGCUAACUACGUGCCAGCCGCCGCCGUAA